GAUCCUGGCUCAGAACGAACGCUGGCGGCGUGCUUAACACAUGCAAGUCGAACGUGAAAGGGGCUUCGGUCCUGAGUAAAGUGGCGCACGGGUGAGUAGCGCGUGGAUAAUCUGCCCUGGUAUCCGGGAUAACAUCUCGAAAGGGGUGCUAAUACCUGAUAAGCCCACAGGGUCUUCGGAUCCUGCGGGAAAAGGUGGGGACCUUCGGGCCUGCCGUAUCAGGAUGAGUCCGCGUACCAUUAGCUGGUUGGCGGGGUAAAGGCCCACCAAGGCGACGAUGGUUAGCUGGUCUGAGAGGAUGAUCAGCCACACUGGAACUGAGACACGGUCCAGACUCCUACGGGAGGCAGCAGUGGGGAAUUUUGCGCAAUGGGGGAAACCCUGACGCAGCAACGCCGCGUGAGUGAUGAAGGCCUUCGGGUCGUAAAGCUCUGUCGGAGGGGAAGAAGUGUGUGGGUGUUAAUACCAUCCGCACUUGACGGUACCCUCAAAGGAAGCACCGGCUAACUCCGUGCCAGCAGCCGCGGUAA
Molecule: ribosomal RNA, 530 nt
Filed under: uncultured delta proteobacterium
Lineage: Bacteria; Deltaproteobacteria
Description: bacterial SSU rRNA
Rfam family: Bacterial small subunit ribosomal RNA
Source: RNAcentral